ACACCAGUGGAUAAGACCAUUCAGUGAAAUAUACAAGUUAUUAUCACUUACCCCAUUUAUCCACUUGCCCUUAUAGGAAAUGCCAUUGGGUCACCGAUCCCGAUUAUGUUUCAGAAGUUAUGAUGAAAUGUGAGUUUUGAAAAGAUAAACUAAAAAAUUACAACGAAAUGGGUUGAAAAUCUAUGAAAGAAUGAUUAUUUUUGAAUGAAGAAUUAUCAUCAAAAAGACGGGAUUAUCCGUCAAGAUCUUGAAACCGGUGCCGUUACGGACGGAAACGGGUUAAAUAUGAUAUUUUCCAAACCAUUUGUGAUCUACCGGCGACAACCAUCUGUGGCAUCCACCCAAGUUAUUCUGGAUAAUGUACUUAAAUGUGUAGGGAUUGG
Molecule: long non-coding RNA, 383 nt
Organism: Aedes aegypti (yellow fever mosquito)
Lineage: Eukaryota; Metazoa; Arthropoda; Insecta; Diptera; Culicidae
Exons: 3
Source: RefSeq, a predicted model, not a curated record